RNAcentral lists this ribosomal RNA (180 nucleotides) under Triticum aestivum (bread wheat). Its description in RNAcentral is "partial small subunit ribosomal RNA". The record is from RNAcentral. Lineage: Eukaryota; Viridiplantae; Streptophyta; Magnoliopsida; Poales; Poaceae.
GUAUAUGGAUAUGGAAAAUAUAAGAUUUCUGAUCCUAGCGGGAAAAGGCGGGGAAGAGAUACCCAAUAGGAUCCUUCGGAGGAACUUUUGGUAAUGGCCAUGAUCCUCUAUGCUAUUUUUUAUGUGUUCUUAGUUCUGUUGAACUUUUUUCAUUCUUUUAAACAAGAAUCUAAUAAACUA